This 279-nucleotide unclassified non-coding RNA is filed under the name plant metagenome. RNAcentral describes it as "partial contains small subunit ribosomal RNA, internal transcribed spacer 1, and 5.8S ribosomal RNA". The record is from RNAcentral.
UUUCCGUAGGUGAACCUGCGGAAGGAUCAUUAUUACAUAACCUCAAUGCGCAGAAUGUCUCUGGCCCGUACGGUCGCGCUCCCCCGAGUGCCCUCACCCACAUCCAUCUCCACCCUAUGUCCGCCACCGCGUGGCUCCCCCGUGGGCUUGUUCGGAGGGGGGCUUGGGUAUUCACAACAACUUUGUAUGCAGUGUAGAAUGUCUUUUUUGUUUUUGCACUCACGCGAUCAGUACAACUUUCAACAACACAUCUCUUGGCUCCCGCAUCGAUGAAGACCG